This 256-nucleotide unclassified non-coding RNA is filed under the name Hevea brasiliensis (rubber tree). Lineage: Eukaryota; Viridiplantae; Streptophyta; Magnoliopsida; Malpighiales; Euphorbiaceae. The record is from RNAcentral.
GUUUCAUCCAACAAUAUCCUUUUCACUGUCCAGGAGAAUGGUAAUUGCUUGAAGGGGGUGAUGAUGGUGGUAAAUAAUUGCAAUGAAUGUAUAAAAAUCGCAGAUAGUGAGACGAAUCAAUAUGAGAAUUAGGAAGGAUGCAAAUAUUUUAGAGAGUUUUUGGAACACAUAAGAAUACAUUAAUACUUCUCAGAUGAUAACUUAUACUAGGGAAUAUGGAAAUUCAGUGGAGUGGCACAGACCCACUCAACGCUCA